Oryzias latipes (Japanese medaka) is the source of this 1363-nucleotide non-coding RNA. The record is from RefSeq and is a predicted model, not a curated record. Lineage: Eukaryota; Metazoa; Chordata; Actinopteri; Beloniformes; Adrianichthyidae.
CGUCUGCUCUGUUCUGGAUGCGACCAGCUGCCACCACUUACCUCAUCACCGCUGCCUUCUUAAGGAUCUCCUGGAUCUUCAGUCGGUGCCAGUUCGUUUUACCUCCCACGGAAUAAUCUACUCUGGAUCUCACCUGGUCGCAGUCCUCUGGUUUCACGCCGUCUCACCUCUGGAAUCCUGCAACUGCUCUCCUCCAGCCAGCCGCCGCGCCUCUGUUGGAAAUAAGCCAAAACUCACCUUCCUAUAUAAAAACUUCUAAACUCACCUUAAUGUCCGAGUCUCCUUCUGGGUUACAGCAUCUGGGUCACUCCGAAUUAUAGUCAUACCAUGACAGAACGAACUGGCCAAACUCCUGACCCAGCUGACCCUGAAGGGCUCCAACACACCUUAUCCAUACAAGGAAAUCUUCUUACACGUCAAGCGGAGGCCAUCACUCUCAUGUCCUCGGCCCAGUGGGAUCUUUUUCGUCGCCUCGACAGCAUCACGCAAAUCAGAUGAUUUAGUUAACACUCUCCUAAUAUCCUGCAGUUUUCUUUCAAGUUUUGUUGUUGCUCCAUCUGUUUUUGUUUUUUAGAUGCAGAAUAGCCAAUGACUAGGCCCCUGAUAAACGCCUUAGAUGUUUCCCAUAGCAAUGAGGGAUUAUUGCUAGACUUUGAAUUGAUAUCGAAGAAAAUUUUAAAUUGUUUAGUAAAAUAUGAUGUAAAUGUAUGAUCUUUCAAAAUGUGCACAUCAAAUCUCCACCUCCUACUCCUCGAAGAAAUACAGGUGACUGUCAAUUCUAGAUACAGCGCUGCAUGAUCACUAACCAAAAUAUUUCCAAUUUCACAAGAAGAGACUUGUUGCACCUGAACUUUUGUAAUAAAAAAAUAGUCAAUAAGAGUGCGGCAUUUAUGAGGAGGAGAGUAGAAAGUAACCUCAUGGUUAGUGGGAUGAAAGGUUCGCCAAACAUCAGCUAGACAGAUUUCGUCACAAAUGGCAGAAAGGGCUCGUGCUUGGUUGGUUGGGGGGGAGCUUAGAGAAGGAUAUCUAUCUACCAAAGGAUUAAGCAGUUAAAAUCACCUCUUUCCUGUUUGGAACGUGAGGGGGGAGGAGUCAGUCAGUCCAGGUCUCUGAGACAGAGACUGUUUUAAAAUAUUUACAAAACCAAGUCCAGAUGAUCGUUGUUACAACGUUUUUUGUGUAAAUUUGGAGAAAAACCCUAAAUAGGUCAAUCAUAACACUUAAUAUAUCAGUAAAUUACUGUUCCUUUUUUUGCCGGGAAACCGGCGGUGGCGCGAGCGCUGCCAUAAUUAUUAGCUAAUGUAACCCCGAUUCUCACAAACCUCCCUUCCUCUGCUCCACCACAAUAACUAUACAGUCGAAA